GAAUCUUUCACAAUGGGGGAAACCCUGAUGGAGCGACGCCGCGCGGGGGAUGAAGGGCUUCGGCUCGUAAACCCCUGUCAUUUGUGAACAAUGUUGCGAUGCUAAUACCAUCGCCAUUGCUAGUAGCAGAAGAGGAAGGGACGGCUAACCUUGUGCCCGCAGCCGCGGUAAUACAGAGGUCCCAAGCGUUGUUCGGAUUCACUGGGCGUAAAGGGUGCGUAGGUGGUAAGGUAAGUUUGAUGUGAAAGCUCCGAGCCCAACUCGGAAAUUGCAUUGAAGACUGCCUAACUAGAGGAUUGGAGGGCGGACUGGAAUUCUCGGUGUAGCGGUGAAAUGCGUAGAUAUCGAGAGGAACACCAGUGGCGAAGGCGAGUCCCUGGACAAAUCCUGACACUGAGGCACGAAAGCUAGGGUAGCAAACAGG
This 424-nucleotide ribosomal RNA is filed under the name uncultured bacterium. Its description in RNAcentral is "bacterial SSU rRNA". It matches the Rfam family "Bacterial small subunit ribosomal RNA", at positions 359 to 776 of the family's 1533-position model. The record is from RNAcentral.